UGCUAGAUACCUUUCAGAAGCAUGGCUGCAU
Molecule: non-coding RNA, 31 nt
Filed under: Rattus norvegicus (Norway rat)
Lineage: Eukaryota; Metazoa; Chordata; Mammalia; Rodentia; Muridae
Source: RNAcentral